GGAGGGAUCAUUACAGAGUUGAAAGACUCCCAACCCUUGUGAACAUACCCGUUAACGUUGCUUCGGCGGGCGGCCCCAGGGCGGGGCCGCAGCCUCCUCGCGAGGCGCCCGCCGGAGGUAUCUAAACUCUUGUAUUUUAUGUCUUCUCUGAGUUGUCUUUUAAAUAAGUCAAAACUUUCAACAACGGAUCUCUUGGUUCUGGCAUCGAUGAAGAACGCAGCGAAAUGCGAUAAGUAAUGUGAAUUGCAGAAUUCAGUGAAUCAUCGAAUCUUUGAACGCACAUUGCGCCCGCUAGUAUUCUAGCGGGCAUGCCUGUUCGAGCGUCAUUUCAACCCUCAAGCACUGCUUGGUGUUGGGGCCCUACAGUCUUCUGUAGGCCCUGAAAACUAGUGGCAGGCUCGCUAUAACUCCGAGCGUAGUAGAAACACCUCGCUUAGGACGUGAUGGCGGGCUCUCGCCGUUAAACCCCCCAAUUUUCUGAAGGUUGACCUCGGAUCAGGUAGGAAUACCCGCUGAACUUAAGCAUAUCAAUAAGCGGAGGAAAAGAAACCAACAGGGAUUGCCCUAGUAACGGCGAGUGAAGCGGCAACAGCUCAAAUUUGAAAUCUGGCUUCGGCCCGAGUUGUAAUUUGUAGAGGAUGCUUUUGGCGCGGUGCCUUCUGAGUUCCCUGGAACGGGACGCCAUAGAGGGUGAGAGCCCCGUAUAGUUGGACACCAAGCCUCUGUAAAGCUCCUUCGACGAGUCGAGUAGUUUGGGAAUGCUGCUCAAAAUGGGAGGUAAAUUUCUUCUAAAGCUAAAUACCGGCCAGAGACCGAUAGCGCACAAGUAGAGUGAUCGAAAGAUGAAAAGCACUUUGAAAAGAGGGUUAAAUAGCACGUGAAAUUGUUGAAAGGGAAGCGCUUAUGACCAGACUUGUUCCCGGUUGAUCAUCCAGUGUUCUCACUGGUGCACUCUGCCGGGAUCAGGCCAGCGUCGGUUCUCGUAGGGGGAUAAAAGCUUCGGGAACGUGGCUCCUCCGGGAGUGUUAUAGCCCGUUGCAUAAUACCCUUAUGGGGACCGAGGUUCGCGCUCUGCAAGGACGCUGGCGUAAUGGUCAUCAGCGACCCGUCUUGAAACACGGACCAAGGAGUCGAGGUUUUGCGCGAGUGUUUGGGUGUAAAACCCGCACGCGUAAUGAAAGUGAACGUAGGUGAGAGCUUCGGCGCAUCAUCGACCGAUCCUGAUGUAUUCGGAUGGAUUUGAGUAAGAGCGUAUAGCCUCGGACCCGAAAGAUGGUGAACUAUGCCUGUAUAGGGUGAAGCCAGAGGAAACUCUGGUGGAGGCUCGCAGCGGUUCUGACGUGCAAAUCGAUCGUCAAAUAUGGGCAUGGGGGCGAAAGACUAAUCGAACCAUCUAGUAGCUGGUUACCGC
This 1411-nucleotide unclassified non-coding RNA is filed under the name uncultured fungus. Its description in RNAcentral is "sequence contains 18S rRNA gene, ITS1, 5.8S rRNA gene, ITS2, 28S rRNA gene". The stretch from base 486 to 1411 matches the Rfam family "Eukaryotic large subunit ribosomal RNA", at positions 1 to 961 of the family's 3401-position model. Lineage: Eukaryota; Fungi. The record is from RNAcentral.